GACGAACGCUGGCGGCGUGCUUAACACAUGCAAGUCGAACGGAAAGGCCCUGCUUUUGUGGGGUGCUCGAGUGGCGAACGGGUGAGUAACACGUGAGUAACCUGCCCUUGACUUUGGGAUAACUUCAGGAAACUGGGGCUAAUACCGGAUAGGAGCUCCUGCUGCAUGGUGGGGGUUGGAAAGUUUCGGCGGUUGGGGAUGGACUCGCGGCUUAUCAGCUUGUUGGUGGGGUAGUGGCUUACCAAGGCUUUGACAAGUAGCCGGCCUGAGAGGGUGACCGGCCACAUUGGGACUGAGAUACGGCCCAGACUCCUACGGGAGGCAGCAGUGGGGAAUAUUGCACAAUGGGCGGAAGCCUGAUGCAGCAACGCCGCGUGCGGGAUGACGGCCUUCGGGUUGUAAACCGCUUUCGCCUGUGACGAAGCGUGAGUGACGGUAAUGGGUAAAGAAGCACCGGCUAACUACGUG
RNAcentral lists this ribosomal RNA (468 nucleotides) under uncultured bacterium. RNAcentral describes it as "partial 16S ribosomal RNA". It matches the Rfam family "Bacterial small subunit ribosomal RNA", at positions 28 to 507 of the family's 1533-position model. The record is from RNAcentral.